RNAcentral lists this ribosomal RNA (433 nucleotides) under uncultured bacterium. RNAcentral describes it as "partial 16S ribosomal RNA". It matches the Rfam family "Bacterial small subunit ribosomal RNA", at positions 29 to 507 of the family's 1533-position model. The record is from RNAcentral.
AACGAACGCUGGCGGCAGGCCUAACACAUGCAAGUCGAGCGGACCUUUCGGGGUCAGCGGCGGACGGGUGAGUAACGCGUGGGAAUAUGCCCUUCUCUACGGAAUAGUCCUGGGAAACUGGGGGUAAUACCGUAUACGCCCUUUGGGGGAAAGAUUUAUCGGGGAAGGAUUAGCCCGCGUUGGAUUAGGUAGUUGGUGGGGUAAUGGCCUACCAAGCCGACGAUCCAUAGCUGGGUUGAGAGGAUGAUCAGCCACACUGGGACUGAGACACGGCCCAGAAUCCUACGGGAGGAAGCAGUGGGGAAUCUUAGACAAUGGGGGCAACCAUGAUCUAGCCAUGCCGCGUGAGUGAUGAAGGCCUUAGGGUUGUAAAGCUCUUUCAGCUGGGAAGAUAAUGACGGUACCAGCAGAAGAAGCCCCGGCUAACUCCGUG